AUAUAUAGAGAGAAAGAACCACAAACUUGAAGAUGGAUAUCAGCUACAGACUUUCCUGAGUCAGAUCUCACCUAAGAAAAUAAACACAUGCUAUGUCAGAGAAGCCUCAGGGCUUCCACACCUGCUCAAAAAGGGAGUUCAGCUUCAGCAGCUGACCCAGGACUCUGUUCCCCUUUGGUGAGAAGGGUUUUUGUUCAGCAAGACAACGGGGAGCUCUCACUGUGGUGGACGUUCGGCCAAGGGACCAAGUUGGAAAUCAAACGAGCUGUGGCUGCACCAUCUGUCUUCAUCUUCCCGCCAUCUGAGGAGCAGUUGAAAUCUGGAACUGCCUCUGUUGUGUGCCUACUGAAUAACUUCUAUCCCAGAGAGGUCAACGUAAAGUGGAAGGUGGAUAAUGUCGUCCAGUCGGGUAACUCCCAGGAGAGUGCCACAGAGCAGGACAGCAAGGACAACACCUACAGCCUCAGCAGCACCCUGACGCUGAGCAACACAGAGUUCCAGAAACACAAAGUCUAUGCCUGCGAAGUCACCCAUCAGGGCCUGAGCUCGCCCGUCACCAAGAGCUUCAAUAGGGGAGAGUGUUAGAGGGAGAAGUGCCCCAGGCCCCCCACCUGCUCCUCAGUCCCAGCCUCACCCCCUCCCAUCCUUUGGCCUCUGACCCUUUUUCCACAGGGGACCUACCCCUAUUUCGGUCCUCCAGCUCAUCUUUCACCUCACCCCCCUCCUCCUCCUUGGCUUUAAUUAUGCUAAUGUUGGAGGAGAAUGAAUAAAUAAAGUGAAUCUUUGCACCUGU
Nomascus leucogenys (northern white-cheeked gibbon) is the source of this 793-nucleotide non-coding RNA. Lineage: Eukaryota; Metazoa; Chordata; Mammalia; Primates; Hylobatidae. The record is from the annotation of a RefSeq genome assembly.